GACGAACGCUGGCGGCGUGCUUAACACAUGCAAGUCGAACGGAAAGGCCCUGCUUUUGUGGGGUGCUCGAGUGGCGAACGGGUGAGUAACACGUGAGUAACCUGCCCUUGACUUUGGGAUAACUUCAGGAAACUGGGGCUAAUACCGGAUAGGAGCUCCUGCUGCAUGGUGGGGGUUGGAAAGUUUCGGCGGUUGGGGAUGGACUCGCGGCUUAUCAGCUUGUUGGUGGGGUAGUGGCUUACCAAGGCUUUGACGGGUAGCCGGCCUGAGAGGGUGACCGGCCACAUUGGGACUGAGAUACGGCCCAGCCUCCUACGGGAGGCAGCAGUGGGGAAUAUUGCACAAUGGGCGGAAGCCUGAUGCAGCAACGCCGCGUGCGGGAUGACGGCCUUCGGGUUGUAAACCGCUUUCGCCUGUGACGAAGCGUGCGUGACGGUAAUGGGUAAAGAAGCACCGGCUAACUACGUG
RNAcentral lists this ribosomal RNA (468 nucleotides) under uncultured bacterium. RNAcentral's name for it is "partial 16S ribosomal RNA". It matches the Rfam family "Bacterial small subunit ribosomal RNA", at positions 28 to 507 of the family's 1533-position model. The record is from RNAcentral.